This 440-nucleotide ribosomal RNA is filed under the name uncultured bacterium. RNAcentral's name for it is "partial 16S ribosomal RNA". It matches the Rfam family "Bacterial small subunit ribosomal RNA", at positions 338 to 795 of the family's 1533-position model. The record is from RNAcentral.
CCUACGGGUGGCAGCAGUGGGGGAUAUUGCACAAUGGGGGAAACCCUGAUGCAGCGACGCCGCGUGAGUGAAGAAGUAUUUCGGUAUGUAAAGCUCUAUCAGCAGGGAAGAAAAUGACAGUACCUGACCAAGUAGCCCCGGCUAACUACGUGCCCGCAGCCGCGGUACUACGUAGGGGGCAAGCGGUAUCCGGAUUUUCUGGGUGCAAAGGGUGCGUAGACGGUUAUGUAAGUCUGGAAGUAAAGGCCGGGGGCUAAACCCGGGAAUGCUUUGGAAACUGUGUAACUGGAGUGCAGGAGGGGCAGGCGGAAUUCCUGGUGUAGCGGUGAAAUGCGUAGAUAUCAGGAGGAACACCGGCGGCGAAGGCGGCCUGCUGGACUGAAACUGACGUUGAGGCUCGAAAGCGUGGGGAGCAAACAGGAUUAGAUACCCGUGUAGUC